UACGUAGGGUGCGAGCGUUAAUCGGAAUUACUGGGCGUAAAGCGUGCGCAGGCGGUUUUGUAAGCCAGGUGUGAAAUCCCCGGGCUCAACCUGGGAAUGGCAUUUGGGACUGCAAGGCUGGAGUGCGGCAGAGGAGACUGGAAUUCCUGGUGUAGCAGUGAAAUGCGUAGAUAUCAGGAGGAAUACCGAUGGCGAAGGCAGGUCUCUGGGCUGACAC
Molecule: ribosomal RNA, 217 nt
Filed under: uncultured bacterium
Lineage: Bacteria
Description: partial 16S ribosomal RNA
Rfam family: Bacterial small subunit ribosomal RNA
Source: RNAcentral